Molecule: long non-coding RNA, 257 nt
Filed under: Bos taurus (domestic cattle)
Lineage: Eukaryota; Metazoa; Chordata; Mammalia; Artiodactyla; Bovidae
Description: long non-coding RNA NONBTAT004236
Source: RNAcentral
CGUUCUUUUAUUAAACUGUUAGCGUUAAAAAAAAAAAACCUUGGGAUUUCUUUUGUAGGGGUAGGGGGUGGAUAAUGGAUAGUGGGGGUGCUAGGAAUCGUAAAUUCGGGAUUUUCUUUUGUGAAAUUUCAUGUAAGUUCCUUUGGACACCUUUGCGUCUGAGCAUCUAUUAACUAAGAAUACCAGGCUGACAGGAUUUUUUUUGACUCUGUAAAGCUCAUGUGCAUGUAAUUUGUGGACUCGAAAUUGAGCGGCAA